ACUUAUUUUGUAUAUUUAGUAUAUUUAACUUCCAAUUAAAAGGAUUGAUUAUCAAAAUAAGUA
RNAcentral lists this transfer RNA (63 nucleotides) under Gryllus veletis. Its description in RNAcentral is "tRNA-Gly". The record is from RNAcentral. Lineage: Eukaryota; Metazoa; Arthropoda; Insecta; Orthoptera; Gryllidae.